This 292-nucleotide ribosomal RNA is filed under the name uncultured bacterium. Its description in RNAcentral is "partial 16S ribosomal RNA". It matches the Rfam family "Bacterial small subunit ribosomal RNA", at positions 505 to 796 of the family's 1533-position model. The record is from RNAcentral.
GUGUCAGCAGCCGCGGUAAUACGUAGGAUCCGAGCGUUGUCCGGAGUUACUGGGUGUAAAGGGUGCGUAGGCGGACUUGUGCGUCAGAGGUGAAAUCCACGAGCUCAACUCGUGGGGUGCCUUUGAUACGGCAAGUCUUGAGUUCGAGAGAGGCGGGUGGAAUUCCUGGUGUAGCAGUGAAAUGCGUAGAUAUCAGGAGGAACACCGAUGGCGAAGGCAGCCCGCCGGCUCGCAACUGACGCUGAGGCACGAAAGCGUGGGGAUCAAACAGGAUUAGAAACCCUCGUAGUCC